This is a long non-coding RNA of Lolium rigidum, 166 nucleotides long. RefSeq lists it as uncharacterized. The record is from RefSeq and is a predicted model, not a curated record. NCBI's taxonomy places the organism in Eukaryota, Viridiplantae, Streptophyta, Magnoliopsida, Poales, Poaceae. The transcript has 2 exons.
CGCGAGAGCCUUCUGGUACGAUUCCGCCGCCGCAGCAAGCCGAGACGCAGGCCUAGAACGCCUGCUGCGCCACCACAUCCGCGAUGAGGGCCAAGUGGAAGAAGAAGAGAAUGAGGAGGCUUAAGAGGAAGCGACGAAAGAUGAGGCAGCGAUCAAAGUAGGCGGG